UACCCGCUGAACUUAAGCAUAUCAGUAGAACGGAAGGAA
This 39-nucleotide ribosomal RNA is filed under the name Aspergillus tubingensis. RNAcentral's name for it is "partial 28S ribosomal RNA". The record is from RNAcentral. Lineage: Eukaryota; Fungi; Ascomycota; Eurotiomycetes; Eurotiales; Aspergillaceae.